Molecule: long non-coding RNA, 293 nt
Filed under: Anas platyrhynchos platyrhynchos (common mallard)
Lineage: Eukaryota; Metazoa; Chordata; Aves; Anseriformes; Anatidae
Description: lncRNA (ENSAPLG00000030132.1)
Source: RNAcentral
UCCCUUUCCUUUCUCCCUCUUCCUUUCUCCCUCCCCAUUACUCUCCCUGUGCACUCCUGCCCUUCUUAAAAUGUUUCUUUUCUUUUGAAAGUUGAAAAUAAAUGAUUGAUAGCAGCAAGCUACUUGGCUGCUCUGCCUCAAUCCUCUGUUCCUAGUAACAGAUUCAAUCCUGUUUUCAGCUGUUCUAAGGAAGUCUGAGACUUGCAUGUGUUGCAAUUUCCAAGCAGAGGGAAGCAGGAGAACAUGGAAAGGAAGAACUUCAUAAUCAACAUUUUUGACUUUCCUGAUAAAAC